RNAcentral lists this transfer RNA (69 nucleotides) under Rhacophorus catamitus. Its description in RNAcentral is "tRNA-Asp". It matches the Rfam family "tRNA". Rfam says of the family: Transfer RNA (tRNA) molecules are approximately 80 nucleotides in length. Their secondary structure includes four short double-helical elements and three loops (D, anti-codon, and T loops). The record is from RNAcentral. Lineage: Eukaryota; Metazoa; Chordata; Amphibia; Anura; Rhacophoridae.
AGGGGUUAAUUAAACAAUAAUACUUCCUUGUCAAGGCAAAAUUGCAAGUUAAAUCCUUGUACCCCUCUA